Molecule: unclassified non-coding RNA, 403 nt
Filed under: soil metagenome
Description: partial contains 5.8S ribosomal RNA, internal transcribed spacer 2, and large subunit ribosomal RNA
Rfam family: 5.8S ribosomal RNA (bases 1-121)
Source: RNAcentral
GAUGAAGAACGUAGCAAAAUGCGAUACUUGGUGUGAAUUGCAGAAUCCCGUGAACCAUCGAGUUUUUGAACGCAAGUUGCGCCCGAAGCCUUUUGGCCGAGGGCACGUCUGCCGGGCGUCACGCAUCGCGUCGCCCCCCACAAUUCUCCGUAAAGGGAACAUGUGUUUUGGGGGCGGAUAUUGGUCUCCCGUGCUCAUGGCGUGGUUGGCCGAAAUAGGAGUCCUUUCGAUGGACGCACGAACUAGUGGUGGUCGUAAAAACCCUCGUCUUUUGUUUCGUGCUGUUGCUCGCAAGGUAAACUCUUUAAAAACCCCAAUGUGUCGUCUCUUGACGACGCUUCGACCGCGACCCCAGGUCAGGCGGGACUACCCGCUGAGUUUAAGCAUAUCAAUAAGCGGAGGA